CCAGGGCAGGUUGCGGGCAGCACAGGCCAGCCAGGUGUGGUAUAAAGAAUAAGCCCAAGGAGAAGGUGGGCAGGGCUCGACGCCAGGUGGCACUAACAGCUGGGCAUAUGGCUGGGAAAGCUGUUAACCUCCUGAGCCUCUUAACUUGUGGUAUUGUGGUCCAAAGAGUGAGUCUCCCACUCUGGAAUUGAUGUCACAGAAUCGAUGGUACACAGGUAUGGUUAAAAGGGUUUGGAGGUGGACGUGGUUCUCCCCGUCUCAGACACAGGGGACGCUGCCAAAGGAGAAGGGGGAAGAGGAGAGGAGGAAAGGAAGGAGGAAGAGGCAGCAGAAAGAGGAAAUCUGUAAUAGUCCAUUGGGCUGGGCGAAUAGAAGAGGGCAAACGACCCAGAUCGGCCCUGCUCGUUUUCACCGUCUGCUUUAAACUACAUGCGCCGAAGCAGACAUUUCCACGGCAGCUUGCAAACCUUCUGCAAACGAGACAACCAAGAAAGCUAAAUGUAACAGCGAGGAGUCUGCUCUGACAUCAGAAACAAGAGGCACCUGGCCUAGGAGGGAUGAAAUGAAACCACCAAGGUCGGGGCAGCUGGAGGGCAUGAAAAUAAAUGAAACACUGGCGCCCA
Molecule: long non-coding RNA, 623 nt
Organism: Mesocricetus auratus (golden hamster)
Lineage: Eukaryota; Metazoa; Chordata; Mammalia; Rodentia; Cricetidae
Exons: 2
Source: RefSeq, a predicted model, not a curated record